ACAAUGGGCGCAAGCCUGAUCCAGCAAUGCCGCGUGUGUGAAGAAGGCCCUCGGGUUGUAAAGCACUUUUAUCAGGAGCGAAAUCUGCCCGGUUAAUACCCUGGUAGUCUGACGGUACCUGAGGAAUAAGCACCGGCUAACUCCGUGCCAGCAGCCGCGGUAAUACGGAGGGUGCAAGCGUUAAUCGGAAUUACUGGGCGUAAAGCGUGCGUAGGCGGUUCGUUAAGUCUGCUGUGAAAGCCCCGGGCUCAACCUGGGAAUGGCAGUGGAUACUGGCGAGCUAGAGUGUGAUAGAGGAUGGUGGAAUUCCCGGUGUAGCGGUGAAAUGCGUAGAGAUCGGGAGGAACAUCAGUGGCGAAGGCGGCCAUCUGGAUCAACACUGACGCUGAGGCACGAAAGC
This 400-nucleotide ribosomal RNA is filed under the name uncultured bacterium. RNAcentral's name for it is "bacterial SSU rRNA". It matches the Rfam family "Bacterial small subunit ribosomal RNA", at positions 368 to 760 of the family's 1533-position model. The record is from RNAcentral.